This 72-nucleotide transfer RNA is filed under the name Nicotiana obtusifolia. RNAcentral describes it as "tRNA-Lys". The record is from RNAcentral. Lineage: Eukaryota; Viridiplantae; Streptophyta; Magnoliopsida; Solanales; Solanaceae.
UUAAAAGCCGAGUACUCUACCGUUGAGUUAGCAACCCCCGACUAGUUCCGGGUUCGAAUCCCGGGCAACCCA